RNAcentral lists this ribosomal RNA (253 nucleotides) under uncultured prokaryote. Its description in RNAcentral is "partial 16S ribosomal RNA". It matches the Rfam family "Bacterial small subunit ribosomal RNA", at positions 524 to 776 of the family's 1533-position model. The record is from RNAcentral.
UACGAAGGGGGCUAGCGUUGUUCGGAAUCACUGGGCGUAAAGCGCGCGUAGGCGGGCCGUUAAGUCGGGGGUGAAAGCCUGGAGCUCAACUCCAGAACUGCCUUCGAUACUGGCGGCCUUGAGUCCGGGAGAGGUGAGUGGAACUCCUAGUGUAGAGGUGAAAUUCGUAGAUAUUAGGAAGAACACCAGUGGCGAAGGCGGCUCACUGGCCCGGUACUGACGCUGAGGUGCGAAAGCGUGGGGAGCAAACAGG